CCUACGGUGAGCAGCAGUCGAGAAUCAUUCACAAUGGGGGAAACCCUGAUGGUGCGACGCCGCGUGGGGGAAUGAAGGUCUUCGGAUUGUAAACCCCUGUCAUGUGGGAGCAAAUUAAAAAGAUAGUACCACAAGAGGAAGAGACGGCUAACUCUGUGACAGCAGCCGCGGUAAUACAGAGGUCUCAAGCGUUGUUCGGAAUCACUGGGCGUAAAGCGUGCGUAGGCUGUUUCGUAAGUCGUGUGUGAAAGGCGCGGGCUCAACCCGCGGACGGCACAUGAUACUGCGAGACUAGAGUAAUGGAGGGGGAACCGGAAUUCUCGGUGUAGCAGUGAAAUGCGUAGAUAUCGAGAGGAACACUCGUGGCGAAGGCGGGUUCCUGGACAUUAACUGACGCUGAGGCACGAAGGCCAGGGGAGCGAAAGGGAUUAGAUACCCCAGUAGUC
Molecule: ribosomal RNA, 446 nt
Filed under: uncultured bacterium
Lineage: Bacteria
Description: partial 16S ribosomal RNA
Rfam family: Bacterial small subunit ribosomal RNA
Source: RNAcentral